Rhodocollybia butyracea is the source of this 79-nucleotide non-coding RNA. NCBI's taxonomy places the organism in Eukaryota, Fungi, Basidiomycota, Agaricomycetes, Agaricales, Omphalotaceae. The record is from the annotation of a GenBank genome assembly.
GCAUUAAUGGGGUAGUGGUAACCUGGGUCGUUGCCAUUUAGCUCUCGACCCGCCGGGGGUUCGAUUCCCUCUUAAUGCA